This 202-nucleotide ribosomal RNA is filed under the name uncultured bacterium. Its description in RNAcentral is "partial 16S ribosomal RNA". It matches the Rfam family "Bacterial small subunit ribosomal RNA", at positions 159 to 355 of the family's 1533-position model. The record is from RNAcentral.
GAUGCUAAUACCGGAUAACAACACUAGACGCAUGUCUAGAGUUUAAAAGAUGGUUCUGCUAUCACUCUUGGAUGGACCUGCGGUGCAUUAGCUAGUUGGUAAGGUAACGGCUUACCAAGGCAAUGAUGCAUAGCCGAGUUGAGAGACUGAUCGGCCACAUUGGGACUGAGACACGGCCCAAACUCCUACGGGAGGCAGCAGC